RNAcentral lists this long non-coding RNA (272 nucleotides) under Calidris pygmaea (Spoon-billed sandpiper). RNAcentral's name for it is "lncRNA (ENSCPGG00000000968.1)". Lineage: Eukaryota; Metazoa; Chordata; Aves; Charadriiformes; Scolopacidae. The record is from RNAcentral.
UCCCUUAUUUUGGCAGCAGCUGCUGCCCCCAAGUGAAACAGCUGCCACAUUCUCCUUCUCGAAGACGCAUCCCAGAAUGGGCUGUCUCUUCUGAGAGGACAACGCAGCCUCCAAUUUGGCAGAGCUAAAGAGAGAGAGUUAAACCAACAGAAGGCUCUUUAUCUCUCUUUUUGAAAUUAUGGCAGAGGUAAGACAAAAGCACAAACAGCCCUAGCAUCUCAGGGUGCCCGAUUUCUUUGGGUUGAAAUAAAGCUUCAUGUGACAAUAGUGCA